GCGCAGCAGUCGCGAAACCUCCGCAAUACACGAAAGUGUGACGGGGCCAUCCCGAGCGCCGUCCGCUGAGGACGGCUUUUCCCCAGUGUACACAGCUGGGGGAAUAAGGAGAGGGCAAGCCUGGUGUCAGCCGCCGCGGUAAUACCAGCUCUCCGAGUGGUGGGGACGCUUAUUGGGCCUAAAGCAUCCGUAGCCGGCUGGGCAAGUCCUCCGUUAAAUCCAACGAUUCAAUCGUUGGGCUGCGGGGGAUACUGUCCAGCUUGGGGGCGGGAGAGGCCGACGGUAUUCCCGGGGUAGGGGUGAAAUCCUAUAAUCCCGGGAGGACCACCAGUGGCGAAGGCUGUCGGCUAGAACGCGCCCGACGGUGAGGGAUGAAAGCUGGGGGGAGCGAACCGGAUUGGAUA
This 404-nucleotide ribosomal RNA is filed under the name uncultured microorganism. RNAcentral describes it as "bacterial SSU rRNA". It matches the Rfam family "Archaeal small subunit ribosomal RNA", at positions 330 to 735 of the family's 1478-position model. The record is from RNAcentral.